Molecule: unclassified non-coding RNA, 114 nt
Filed under: Lacrymaria sp. FG-2017a
Lineage: Eukaryota; Ciliophora; Litostomatea; Haptorida; Lacrymariidae
Description: partial internal transcibed spacer 1
Source: RNAcentral
AUUAAUAAAACAAUGAACUUUUAAUAAAAUGACCUAGUAAUAGCAGCUAGUCUGCUAUUCCAUUGAAUUUAGUUUUACUAAAUCCCAUUACUGAAUCAAUGGUUGAUAUUAAUC